GAUGAACGCUAGCUACAGGCUUAACACAUGCCAGUCGAGGGGAAACGCCAUUGAAGCUUGCUUCGAUGGUCGUCGACCGGCGCACGGGUGAGUAACGCGUAUCCAACCUGCCUCUGACCAAGGGAUAACCCGUCGAAAGUCGGCCUAAUACCUUAUGCAGUCGUCGGAAGUCAUCUGAUGACGACGAAAGAUUUCAUCGGUGAGAGAUGGGGAUGCGUCUGAUUAGCUUGUUGGCGGGGUAACGGCCCACCAAGGCAACGAUCAGUAGGGGUUCUGAGAGGAAGGUCCCCCACAUUGGAACUGAGACACGGUCCAAACUCCUACGGGAGGCAGCAGUGAGGAAUAUUGGUCAAUGGGCGAGAGCCUGAACCAGCCAAGUAGCGUGCAGGAUGACGGCCCUAUGGGUUGUAAACUGCUUUUAUGCGGGGAUAAAGUGAGGGACGUGUCCCUCAUUGCAGGUACCGCAUGAAUAAGGACCGGCUAAUUCCGUG
RNAcentral lists this ribosomal RNA (491 nucleotides) under uncultured bacterium. Its description in RNAcentral is "partial 16S ribosomal RNA". It matches the Rfam family "Bacterial small subunit ribosomal RNA", at positions 28 to 507 of the family's 1533-position model. The record is from RNAcentral.